This 672-nucleotide ribosomal RNA is filed under the name uncultured bacterium. Its description in RNAcentral is "bacterial SSU rRNA". It matches the Rfam family "Bacterial small subunit ribosomal RNA", at positions 94 to 803 of the family's 1533-position model. The record is from RNAcentral.
AGCGGCGAACGGGUGAGUAACACGUGGGUAUCUGCCCUGCACUCUGGGAUAAGCCUGGGAAACUGGGUCUAAUACCGGAUAUGGCUUCAUGGUGAAAGAUUUAUCGGUGCAGGAUGGGCCCGCGGCCUAUCAGCUUGUUGGUGGGGUAAUGGCCUACCAAGGCGACGACGGGUAGCCGACCUGAGAGGGUGACCGGCCACACUGGGACUGAGACACGGCCCAGACUCCUACGGGAGGCAGCAGUGGGGAAUAUUGCACAAUGGGCGGAAGCCUGAUGCAGCGACGCCGCGUGAGGGAUGAAGGCCUUCGGGUUGUAAACCUCUUUCAGCAGGGACGAAGCGUGAGUGACGGUACCUGCAGAAGAAGCACCGGCUAACUACGUGCCAGCAGCCGCGGUAAUACGUAGGGUGCGAGCGUUGUCCGGAAUUACUGGGCGUAAAGAGUUCGUAGGCGGUUUGUCGCGUCGUUUGUGAAAACCCGGGGCUCAACUUCGGGCUUGCAGGCGAUACGGGCAGACUUGAGUGUUUCAGGGGAGACUGGAAUUCCUGGUGUAGCGGUGAAAUGCGCAGAUAUCAGAGGAACACCGGUGGCGAAUGCGGGUCUCUGGGAACAACUGACGCUGAGGACGAAGCGUGGGUAGCAACAGGAUUAGAUACCUGGUAGUCACGUCGA